UGAUUAAAUGGAGUUCAGUUUUUUUUAAUUCAAUGUAAGGUUGCGGACAGAGAAGGCAAACAAACAAAAAACCCAAUCACCUCUUAUAGUCUGAAAUUGACUUCCAUCACAUGACUUCUUUAAAUGAAGCAAUUUAUUUAAAUGUAUAUAAGUCUAGAUCAUUAGAGUUACCAAAUACUAUAGGCCUGUGCCAUGAACUAAGCUGCUUUUAGUUUACCCCAAGCAUAUGUAUACAAAAACAGCCCCGCUCACUUUAUGACCACAUUGGCUGCUCAUUUAAUGAAGACAUCAAACUGUAAAUCAAUUUGUAGAGUGUGAAACUUU
Biomphalaria pfeifferi is the source of this 324-nucleotide non-coding RNA. The record is from the annotation of a GenBank genome assembly. Lineage: Eukaryota; Metazoa; Mollusca; Gastropoda; Planorbidae.